UGUGCUUGGGGCACCCAAAGGCUGGAGCCAGGGGCCUCCUGCGCACGCUCUGCCUGGCCUUCCUCACAGCACCCGUGGGCAGGAGGAGCUGAACAUGAGCAACCCCACCAGACAGAAGACCACCACGUCCGGCUGUUCCCCAUCUCCAGCGGGGCCAGAUGCUGGCAGGCUUCAGCGAGGAGGCUUGGGGCAGCCCUUUGGCCAGGCUGUGAGACUCACCAAAUCUCAGCCCUGGGUGAGCUCUUACAGAUCACCCAAGCCAGGCCAGCCUCCCAGCCUCCCUGAGGGCCGUCCUGGCUGCCGAGGACAGAGGUCGGCGGACAGAGGCUGAGGACAGCAGCACAAUCUGGGCCAUGAAUGCCGAAGCAGACAGGACAGAUGUGGGCUCCUAGCCCUGCCCUGUCACUCUCGCCGUGUGGCCUGGGAUGCACUCCAUCUGCCUGGCCACCAUCUCCUCCUCUGUGAUGCAAGUACUUGCAGCCGGAGGUCUCCUUGCCCCUUCCUCGGAGGCCUCCCUCUGUCGCGCCCUCUGGGUCUCCUGCCCCGCAGAGUGUGACUCCCUCAGAGCAGCCGCUCCGAGUUGGACUUUCCAGGGAUGCUGGGAGCCCCUUGCCCAGGGGCUGGACAUACAUGCUGGAAGCGUGAAUGAACUCACAAGAAAUGCCUCCUCCGAGUUGAGUGUAGCAGUGGCCAGUGAAAGCAUGGAGUUUGCAGACCAGGGGAAAUAGCAAACACGCCCAAAUACCUCCUAUUGUGUCUACCACCGGUGGGUUCCCCAUGCCCAUUAAUUAGCAUUUUAAAGGCUCUGGGAAGUCCUGCAGUGAAAGAAACCUAUUUACCUUUGUUUUUGCCAGUGUUUUCCAAACCUAUCUGAGUAUAAUUUAGUUUUGGCCUAUCACCUAUUCCCUUUUCAUGACACACUUGGGAAACGUGGUAUUAGGUCUACUUGCCUUUUCAGGCAGGUUUGUUUAAAAUAAGGUCAAAUUUGGUAAAGAUACUAAGCUUUCGAGGCCACUGUGGCCUGUGAGGGAGCCCUUGUCUCUUCACUCCCGCACUCUGAGCCGAGGCCCGCCGCCUCCCUGAGGCCAGGUGCAGACUGCACAGGUUGUACGGAGUCUUGCCCCCUUGUGUAGGGGAUGCCAUUUGAUCCGUGCGGCAUUCAUCUCCCAACAUUCCACAAACAGUGUGUCUAGUCAUGUGUUUCCUCCUUCCGCAUACUGUGCAGCAGGGUCACGGGGCUAAGGAGUCCAGCCCAGCAGUAAUUCAUAGGAAAGAGACCCGGCUUUAUUGGCAUGUCUGUCCCCAAAGUCAAUAAAAUCUCAGGCAACAAUAAGAGAAGUUCAGAUACUGAUCUAGGGGCGACAGUUCCUGUCCUCAGGGCUGCCGGACCUCAUCUGGAGUGCUCGGUCUGUUCUGUUUCUAACAGGGCUGUUGUUCAAGUUGAGUGUGUGCAGAAGGGAAAGCAGAGGGUGAAGGGUCUGGAAAUUAUGUCAGAAGAGAAGGAGCUGCCAGAACAGGAAUAUUUAGCCUCACAAAAGGAAGGCCUGGGGGAGCCUGUGGUAGCUGUUCUCAAAUAUCGGAGAAGCUGUCAUCUGGAGAUUGGGCACGUCCUGUGA
Non-coding RNA from Manis javanica (Malayan pangolin), 1616 nucleotides. The record is from RefSeq and is a predicted model, not a curated record. Lineage: Eukaryota; Metazoa; Chordata; Mammalia; Pholidota; Manidae.